This 68-nucleotide transfer RNA is filed under the name Marmota monax (woodchuck). RNAcentral's name for it is "tRNA.Ala". The record is from RNAcentral. Lineage: Eukaryota; Metazoa; Chordata; Mammalia; Rodentia; Sciuridae.
GGAUUGUGGCUCAGAGGUAGAGCGCUUGCCUAGCAUGUGUGAGGGACUGGGUUCAAGCCUCAGCACCA